RNAcentral lists this small nuclear RNA (107 nucleotides) under Salvator merianae (Argentine black and white tegu). Lineage: Eukaryota; Metazoa; Chordata; Lepidosauria; Squamata; Teiidae. The record is from RNAcentral.
GUGCUCACUUCGGCAGCACAUAGACUAAAAUUGGAAUGAUGCAGAGAUGAUUAGCAUGGCCCCUGCACAAGGAUGACACACAAAUUCGCGAAGCAUUUUAUAUUUUU